AAAAGCACGAGAAACUGCCAGCUGACCGUUCACUCUUGCAACAUCUCCUGAGGCAAUACACCAAAAAUGAACACACAGUGGUUGUUAUGGCAGAAAUAGAAAUCACAAGGAAGACUAUCCCAUGGAAAUCUGAGAUUAUAUAUUGAAUAAUCAACUUACAAACCAAUGAAUGAAAUCAUGCAAAGACAAAUGUAGGCAUUCCAACUUAAACCAGAUUACACCACUUCCUACCCUUCAUGGUGAAAUGCAAAUUAUACAACUUUAUUUAUUUAUAUCACAUCAGUAUGCACACAAAUAUGUACAGUUGUAAUCAUACAAAAAGACAUAUAGCCAUUUACUAGCAGUCUGAAAU
This 352-nucleotide unclassified non-coding RNA is filed under the name Hevea brasiliensis (rubber tree). The record is from RNAcentral. Lineage: Eukaryota; Viridiplantae; Streptophyta; Magnoliopsida; Malpighiales; Euphorbiaceae.